This is a long non-coding RNA of Tachysurus vachellii, 503 nucleotides long. RefSeq lists it as uncharacterized. The record is from RefSeq and is a predicted model, not a curated record. The transcript is spliced from 3 exons. NCBI's taxonomy places the organism in Eukaryota, Metazoa, Chordata, Actinopteri, Siluriformes, Bagridae.
GUUUACGUGACUAUCUGUUCGGGUGCAAAUGUAUCGAUGUGGUGUCGAUGAGCUGUAAAUGUGCCCGGAGAUGUCAUGUGUUAAUGUUUAGCCAUAAAUAUGUCUGGUAAUGGCCCGUUAACAAACAUAUACAGCGCAUCUCUGUACCCAAUUAUUUUAUCUCAGCUAUGCUUAGUUAUUGCUUUAUAAGUUUGUUACUGUGGAGAAUACAUUAUAUUAAUUAUUAAAAACUUUUGUAGGAAUGUGGCUGCAUCACUCUUGUCUUCACCUGCACCGGCUGCAACACUUUCACCUUCGUUUGAUGCUCGCACGGGGGCGCGCAGCAACGAGAACAAUAAGGAGAAUGUGGCUGCAACACGUUCACCUUCGUCUGAUACUCGCACGAGGGCACGCAGCAACGCGAGCGACAUUCAUCCAGUGAAUGUGGCUGCAACACGUUCACCUUCGUCUGAUACUCGCACGAGGGCACGCAGCAACGCAACUGGGAACAAAAAAGAGUACGU